RNAcentral lists this ribosomal RNA (492 nucleotides) under uncultured bacterium. RNAcentral's name for it is "partial 16S ribosomal RNA". It matches the Rfam family "Bacterial small subunit ribosomal RNA", at positions 28 to 507 of the family's 1533-position model. The record is from RNAcentral.
GAUGAACGCUAGCUACAGGCUUAACACAUGCAAGUCGAGGGGAAACGACAUCGAAAGCUUGCUUUUGAUGGGCGUCGACCGGCGCACGGGUGAGUAACGCGUAUCCAACCUGCCCAUCACUUGGGGAUAACCUUGCGAAAGUAAGACUAAUACCCAAUGACAUCCCACGAAGACAUCUGAAUGGGAUUAAAGAUUUAUCGGUGAUGGAUGGGGAUGCGUCUGAUUAGCUUGUUGGCGGGGUAACGGCCCACCAAGGCAACGAUCAGUAGGGGUUCUGAGAGGAAGGUCCCCCACAUUGGAACUGAGACACGGUCCAAACUCCUACGGGAGGCAGCAGUGAGGAAUAUUGGUCAAUGGGCGAGAGCCUGAACCAGCCAAGUAGCGUGCAGGAUGACGGCCCUAUGGGUUGUAAACUGCUUUUAUAAGGGAAUAAAGUGGGUCUCGUGAGACUUUUUGCAUGUACCUUAUGAAUAAGGACCGGCUAAUUCCGUG